CCAGUUCGGACUGCAGCCUGCAACCCGGCUGCACGAAGCCGGAAUCGCUAGUAAUCGCGGAUCAGCAUGCCGCGGUGAAUACGUUCCCGGGCCUUGUACACACCGCCCGUCACACCAUGGGAGUUUGUAACGCCCAAAGUCGGUGGCCUAACCUUUAUGGAGGGAGCCGCCUAAGGCGGGACAGAUGACUGGGGUGAAGUCGUAACAAGGUAAC
This 214-nucleotide ribosomal RNA is filed under the name uncultured bacterium. RNAcentral's name for it is "partial 16S ribosomal RNA". It matches the Rfam family "Bacterial small subunit ribosomal RNA", at positions 1288 to 1500 of the family's 1533-position model. The record is from RNAcentral.